RNAcentral lists this long non-coding RNA (654 nucleotides) under Homo sapiens (human). RNAcentral describes it as "non-protein coding lnc-API5-4:3". The record is from RNAcentral. Lineage: Eukaryota; Metazoa; Chordata; Mammalia; Primates; Hominidae.
AAACAAUUGAGAAGCAGACACAGAAGUCAAACUUUUUCAAUAAGCUAAAUUGGAAGAAAGGGCUUAGCACACGGUGUUUCCUAAUCUUUCCUGCCAACCAUUUAUUUAAGCUCAGAUCUUGGGAAGCCCAUCUAAGGGCUUCCAAAGAGAAAAUGCUACUUAUCAAGAAUCAUGCCUUUCCUGUUGCAGAGUAGAAGUAAACAAAAUCAAGAAAUCUCCAAUGCUCACACAAUUUUAACAGGUUUGGCCAAUACAACAGAGACGUGAAAACCAACAGAUGUCCCCCACCAAUCCAGGAAUGAGUGAAUUCUUGCUCUAUCAGGACCUGUGAGACUUCCCUCAAGAGCUGGUUGUUAAAAAGAGCCUAGGACCUCUUCCCUCUCUUGCUUCCUCUCUUGCCUUGUGAUCUUCACAUCCUGACUCUCCUUCACCUUCCACUCUGAGUGGAAGUUUCCUGAGGCUCUCGCAAGAAGCAGAUAUCGGCACCAUGCUUCUUUUACAGUCUUCAUAGUCCUGAGAACAAGCAAGUGUUGGUGCAGGAUAACUUUAGAGGCUGCCAGUGUAACUAACCUUCUGCUGAUCACUCCAUUCAAGCUGCUCAAAUAGUCCUUCCAAGGUCACAGGCCAGCGACAGCAGGGAUGACUAACAAAAAC